AGAGUUUGAUCCUGGCUCAGAACGUACGCUGGCGGCACGCCUAACACAUGCAAGUCGAACGAAGUAGCAAUACUUAGUGGCAGACGGGUGAGUAACAUGUAGGUAUCUGCCCUUUGGCCUGGAAUAACACGAGGAAACUUGUGCUAAUACCGGAUAAGUCUUUACGGAGAAAGCUUUAUGCACCAUUGGAUGAGCCUGCACUUGAUUAGUUUGUUGGUGGGGUAAUGGCCUACCAAGACUGUGAUCAAUAGCUGAUUUGAGAGGAUGAUCAGCCACAUUGGGACUGAGACACGGCCCAAACUCCUACGGGAGGCAGCAGUGGGGAAUCUUGCACAAUGGAGGAAACUCUGAUGCAGCGAUGCCGCGUGAGUGAAGAAGGCCUUUGGGUUGUAAAGCUCUUUCGUCGGGGAAGAAAAUGACUGUACCCGAAUAAGAAGGUCCGGCUAACUUCGUGCCAGCAGCCGCGGUAAUACGAAGGGACCUAGCGUAGUUCGGAAUUACUGGGCUUAAAGAGUUCGUAGGUGGUUGAAAAAGUUAGUGGUGAAAUCCCAGAGCUUAACUCUGGAACUGCCAUUAAAACUUUUCAGCUAGAGUAUGAUAGAGGAAAGCAGAAUUUCUAGUGUAGAGGUGAAAUUCGUAGAUAUUAGAAAGAAUACCAAUUGCGAAGGCAGCUUUCUGGAUCAUUACUGACACUGAGGAACGAAAGCAUGGGUAGCGAAGAGGAUUAGAUACCCUCGUAGUCCAUGCCGUAAACGAUGUGUGUUAGACGUUGGAAAUUUAUUUUCAGUGUCGCAGCGAAAGCGAUAAACACACCGCCUGGGGAGUACGACCGCAAGGUUAAAACUCAAAUGAAUUGACGGGGACCCGCACAAGUAGUGGAGCAUGUGGUUUAAUUCGAAGAUACGCGCAGAACCUUACCAACACUUGACAUGUUCGUCGCGACUCUAAGAGAUUAGAGUUUUCGGUUCGGCCGGACGAAACACAGGUGCUGCAUGGCUGUCGUCAGCUCGUGUCGUGAGAUGUUGGGUUAAGUCCCGCAACGAGCGCAACCCUCACUUUUAGUUGCCAUCAUUAAGUUGGGCACUCUGAAAGAACUGCCAGUGAUAAGCUGGAGGAAGGUGGGGAUGACGUCAAGUCCUCAUGGCCCUUACGUGUUGGGCUACACACGUGCUACAAUGGUAUCUACAACAGGAAGCAAGACUGCGAAGUUAAGCAAAUCCCUAAAAGAUACCUCAGUUCGGAUUGCACUCUGCAACUCGAGUGCAUGAAGCUGGAAUUACUAGUAAUCGUGGAUCAGCGUGCCACGGUGAAUGCGUUCCCGGGUCUUGUACACACCGCCCGUCACACCAUGGGAGUUGGUUCUACCUUAAGGCAAGGUUUCAAACCCUUGACCACGGUAUAGUCAGCGACUGGGGUGAAGUCGUAACAAGGUA
This 1433-nucleotide ribosomal RNA is filed under the name uncultured bacterium. Its description in RNAcentral is "bacterial SSU rRNA". It matches the Rfam family "Bacterial small subunit ribosomal RNA". The record is from RNAcentral.